This 433-nucleotide ribosomal RNA is filed under the name uncultured bacterium. RNAcentral's name for it is "partial 16S ribosomal RNA". It matches the Rfam family "Bacterial small subunit ribosomal RNA", at positions 29 to 507 of the family's 1533-position model. The record is from RNAcentral.
AGCGAACGCUGGCGGCAGGCCUAACACAUGCAAGUCGAACGAACCUUUCGGGGUUAGUGGCGGACGGGUGAGUAACACGUGGGAACGUGCCUUUAGGUUCGGAAUAACUCAGGGAAACUUGUGCUAAUACCGAAUGUGCCCUUCGGGGGAAAGAUUUAUCGCCUUUAGAGCGGCCCGCGUCUGAUUAGCUAGUUGGUUGAGGUAAUGGCUCACCAAGGCGACGAUCAGUAGCUGGUCUGAGAGGAUGAUCAGCCACAUUGGGACUGAGACACGGCCCAAACGCGACGGGGAGGAGGCGGUGGGAAAUCUUGCGCAAUGGGCGAAAGCCUGCCACGCCCAGGCGGGGUGAAUGAGGAAGGCUUUGGAAUUUAAAAAUCCUUUCCCCGGGGCGGUAAUGACGGUACCCGGAGAAGAAGCCCCGGCUAACUUCGUG